Molecule: ribosomal RNA, 518 nt
Filed under: uncultured bacterium
Lineage: Bacteria
Description: bacterial SSU rRNA
Rfam family: Bacterial small subunit ribosomal RNA
Source: RNAcentral
AGUUGAUCAUGGCUCAGAACGAACGCUGGCGGCGCGUCUUAAGCAUGCAAGUCGAACGGCAAGAGGUAGCAAUACCUCCUAGAGUGGCGGACUGGUGAGUAACACGUGGGUGACAUACCCUUCAGAUGGGGAUAGCUAUUAGAAAUAGUAGAUAAUACCGAAUACGAGCACAGGGGUUAGAGAUCUGUGAGGAAAGGAGCUAAGGCUCCGCUGGAGGAAUGGCCUGCGGCCCAUUAGCUAGUUGGUGAGGUAAGAGCCCACCAAGGCGAUGAUGGGUAUCCGGCCUUAGAGGGUGAACGGACACAUUGGGACUGAGAUACGGCCCAGACUCCUACGGGAGGCAGCAGCUAAGAAUAUUCCGCAAUGGACGAAAGUCUGACGGAGCGACGCCGCGUGGAUGAAGAAGGCCGGAAGGUUGUAAAAUCCUUUUGAAACUGAAGAAUAAGCGUUGUAGGGAAUGACAGCGUGGUGACAGUAGGUUUUGAAUAAGCAACGGCUAAUUACGUGCCAGCCGCAGC